UGGGGAAUAUUGCACAAUGGGCGCAAGCCUGAUGCAGCCAUGCCGCGUGUGUGAAGAAGGCCUUCGGGUUGUAAAGCACUUUCAGCGGGGAGGAAGGCGUUAAGGUUAAUAACCUUGGCGAUUGACGUUACCCGCAGAAGAAGCACCGGCUAACUCCGUGCCAGCAGCCGCGGUAAUACGGAGGGUGCAAGCGUUAAUCGGAAUUACUGGGCGUAAAGCGCACGUAGGCGGUCUGUCAAGUCGGAUGUGAAAUCCCCGGGCUCAACCUGGGAACUGCAUUCGGAACUGGCAGGCUAGAGUCUUGUAGAGGGGGGUAGAAUUCCAGGAGUAGCGGUGAAAUGCGUAGAGAUCUGGAGGAAUACCGGUGGCGAAGGCGGCCCCCUGGACAAAGACUGACGCUCAGGUGCGAAAGCGUGGGGAGCAAACAGG
RNAcentral lists this ribosomal RNA (429 nucleotides) under Chloroflexota bacterium. RNAcentral describes it as "Chloroflexi bacterium partial 16S ribosomal RNA". It matches the Rfam family "Bacterial small subunit ribosomal RNA", at positions 355 to 776 of the family's 1533-position model. Lineage: Bacteria; Bacillati; Chloroflexota. The record is from RNAcentral.